Molecule: long non-coding RNA, 1183 nt
Filed under: Homo sapiens (human)
Lineage: Eukaryota; Metazoa; Chordata; Mammalia; Primates; Hominidae
Description: HSALNT0140051
Source: RNAcentral
CCAGCUUCCCUAAACUCCUUUUUCCUUGAACUUCACUGCAAUCAAAUUCUUUCUAUUUGUGCUGUGAACCUGGAAAAAUGCAACUGCUUUCUUUAACUUUCUCCUGUCUCUCCUCUGUUCCCUUAAGAUUUGGAAUUCAAUCUUGUGAUUGCUUCCAUCCAAGAUACUCAUCUGUCUUUAGAUACCCCACUGUUGACCAGAUACAAAACACAAAGGGCAUCUGUCCUCCUUGAUUUUUAUUGUUUUGUGCACUAGGGGAUGCCCCAGGGGAUGCAGCUCAGAACCCUGUUUGAUGAUCUGCAGCCUGAUGUGUUGUCCUUUGGCAGCCAACUGGGUCAAGUUUCCCAAUAGCAAUCUUCAAGGCUUUAGCCCAUCAAGACAAGAUCAGAGGAGCAUUCAUCUUGUUCUAAUGUCUGGGGGACAGAAGAAUAAAUCCUGAUACUCUGGAGCAUGCUACAUAGAAUUAUCCACAUGAGAAGCAAGUUAACUGCACAUCACUGCCUACUGUUUGGAAAGUCUGCUUUCAUUAUUUCUAUUUGGGCACAUAUUUUUGGAACCCUUGCUGUUUUCUAGUGUCCACUGUGUCUUAAUUCAAAUUGUAGUCACAUAGAUUUGCCAUAAUAUCUAAUGUCUGCUGCUGUAUAAAAUGUCUGGCCAGGUGCAGUGGCUCACACUUAUAAUCCCAGAACUUUGGGAGGUCAAGGAAAGAGGAUCACUUGAGGCCAAGAGUUCUAGACCAGCCUGGUCAACAUGGUGACUCUGUCUCUACAAAAGAUUUUGGUUUUAAAUUAGCCAGGUAUGGUGGCACAUGCUUGAAGUGCCAGCUAUUCAGGAAGCUGCAGCAGGAGGAUCCCUUGAGCCUAGGAAUUUGAGGCUGCAGUGAGCUAUGAUUGCAUCACUGCACUCCAGCCUGGGCAACAAAGUGAGACCCUAUCUCUUAAAUAAUAAAAAUAAAAAAAAGUCUGCGUGUAUUUUUGUGGUGCCCCUGGCUCCAUUCAUACAUCAAAUUAUUUAUGCUGUGACAUAGGUUGUGUAUUAAAUUAAAUCAUCCCAAAUGUAUCUUUAUCCCAAUUUGGUAAAAAAUGAAUUUGGCUUUUUUGUGUGUCAUGCAGUAAUAAAGGAAAUGGUCAAUAAUCAGAAGCUAAACUUUAUAAACUCUUGUAUCUAUUUUUUAAUAGAUUGA